GCCAAUGCAUGCUUUUACAGUAUGAAAAUUGGUGAUUUAUAAUAACUUAGCAAAUCGCAUAGUGAAAACAGGCGAUAAAUCAUUCAAGUUUCUGACCUAUCAGCUUUCGACGGUAUGGUAUUGGCUUACCGUGGCAGUGACGGUUAACGGGGGAUUAGGGUUCGAUUCCGGAGAGGGAGCCUGAGAAACGGCUACCACAUCUAAGGAAGGCAGCAGGCGCGCAAAUUACCCAAUUCUAACAGUUUGAGAGAGGUAGUAACAAGAAAUAACAAUACAAGGCAGUUAAAAUGCUUUGUAAUUGGAAUGAUAGAAAUUUAAACCCUUUUUAAAGUAUCAAUUGGAGGGCAAGUCUGGUGCCAGCAGCCGCGGUAAUUCCAGCUCCAAUAGCGUAUAUUAAAAUUGUUGCAGUUAAAAAGCUCGUAGUUGAAGUUCUGCUAAAAGUAACCGGUCUGCUUUGAAUAAAAGUGGUAUCUUGGUAUGUAUUUAGCAAUGAUGUCCUUUGAAGUGUUUUUUACUUUAUUGUAAUAAAGCAUAUUCAGGACUUUUACUUUGAGAAAAUUAGAGUGUUUCUAGCAGGCCAACGCUUUGAAUACUGCAGCAUGGAAUAAUAAGA
This 613-nucleotide ribosomal RNA is filed under the name Hepatozoon canis. RNAcentral describes it as "SSU rRNA". It matches the Rfam family "Eukaryotic small subunit ribosomal RNA", at positions 221 to 822 of the family's 1831-position model. The record is from RNAcentral. Lineage: Eukaryota; Apicomplexa; Hepatozoidae.